UUAAAUGGCCGCAGUAUUUUGACUGUGCAAAGGUAGCAUAAUCAUUAGUUUCUUAAUUAGAAGCUGGAAUGAAAGGUUGAACGAGAAAAUAACUGUCUCUUUAUAAAUUUAUUAGAAUUUUAUUUUUAAGUUAAAAAGCUUAAAUAUAUUUAAAAGACGAGAAGACCCUAUAGAGUUUUAUAUAAUUUUUUAUAAUAAAUUUAUUUAUAAUUGUAAAAAUUUUAUAUAAAGUUAUAUUUGGUUGGGGUGAUUGAAAAAUUUAUUAAACUUUUUUAAAAAUUUAAACAUUGUUAUAUGAUUAAUUGAUCCAUUAUUUAUGAUUAAAAGAUUAAAUUACCUUAGGGAUAACAGCGUAAUUUCUUUUUAGAGUUCUAAUCGAUAAAGAAGUUUGCGACCUCGAUGUUGGAUUAAAAUAUAGUUUUGGUGUAGAAGCUAAAAUAUUAGGUCUGUUCGACCUUUAAAAUUUUACAUGAUCUGAGUUUAAACCGGUGUAAGCCAGGUUGGUUUCUAUCUUUAAAUAAUUAAAAUAUUUUAGUACGAAAGGACCAAAUAUUUAAAAAAUUUUUAAAUUUAUUGAAUAAAAUUAAUUU
This 590-nucleotide ribosomal RNA is filed under the name Oreuryalea watanabei. RNAcentral's name for it is "partial 16S ribosomal RNA". It matches the Rfam family "Bacterial large subunit ribosomal RNA", at positions 1923 to 2755 of the family's 2925-position model. The record is from RNAcentral. Lineage: Eukaryota; Metazoa; Arthropoda; Insecta; Coleoptera; Staphylinidae.